CCUACGGGAGGCAGCAGUGAGGAAUAUUGGUCAAUGGCCGGAAGGCUGAACCAGCCAUGCCGCGUGAAGGUCAGUGCCCUAUGGGCGUUAAACUUCUUUUGUGCGGGAGCAAUAAUGGUCACGUGUGGCCAGACGAGAGUACCGUACGAAUAAGCAUCGGCUAACUCCGUGCCAGCAGCCGCGGUAAUACGGGGGAUGCAAGCGGUAUCCGGAUUUAUUGGGGUUAAAGGGUGCGUAGGCUGUGAGGUAAGUCAGCGGUGAAAUGCCCCCGGUCAACGGGGUGAAGUGCCUUUGAUACUGCCUUGCUGGAGUGCGGAGGAGGAGGGAGGAAUGUGUGGUGUAGCGGUGAAAUGCGUAGAUAUCACGAAGAACACCGAUUGCGAAGGCAUCUCACGAAUCCGCGAUUGACGCUGAUGCACGAAAGCGUGGGUAUCAAACAGGAUUAGAUACCCGUGUAGUC
Molecule: ribosomal RNA, 460 nt
Filed under: uncultured bacterium
Lineage: Bacteria
Description: partial 16S ribosomal RNA
Rfam family: Bacterial small subunit ribosomal RNA
Source: RNAcentral